RNAcentral lists this ribosomal RNA (3372 nucleotides) under Ambystoma mexicanum (axolotl). RNAcentral's name for it is "eukaryotic LSU rRNA". The stretch from base 1338 to 3372 matches the Rfam family "Eukaryotic large subunit ribosomal RNA". Lineage: Eukaryota; Metazoa; Chordata; Amphibia; Caudata; Ambystomatidae. The record is from RNAcentral.
UCAAGAGUAAGUGAGCAGUAUCAAAUAGUUACACAAAAGACAGCAAUUACGAUGAUUCAAGCAAACACUGACUCAAGGUUUCCAAGUAAAAGAAUAUACAUGUAUUUACUCUUUAGUUAUAUAACAUUUCACUAUCAUAAAGCAGUUUAAAAAUCACACACUUAAUACUCCACACCACUCCCAAUAAGUUCCAGACAAGUUAAGCUCACAAAACGAAGUAGGAGCAAAAUGGCAAUCCAGAAAUUCAAAAGGGAGGGAAAGACAAAGUUAAUAGAAAUUGAACCACACCAACAGGUAAGUACUCAGGGCAAUAGAGCAAGAGGAACUACAGUGACAGAAUCAGGGUAAAAGGCUUAAGGCCAAAGUCACUAGGUCAAAAGUAUUUUGCUCAAGAUCACACGGUUCAGGGUAGUUUGCGGUAAAGUUUGUGCCACGGAUUCCGGACGAGGUUGGUUGGCAGAAAAGUUAGUUCAAAGAGAAGAGAAGGACAAGCCCUCGGAUUGGAGAAGGAUUUCAACACACUUUGCCGAGGCUGAGCGAAACAAGCAACUGGGUUUGCACAGUACUUAAAACGGAGAGUAAGCUGUAGCUGAGGCGGACGUUCCUGGUAGUUCAAGCAGGCUCAUAGUUCCUGAAGCGACUGUCGGACUGACACGAAGUAGGAAGACUGGAGGGUCCUGCACUACCCAGGGAAGAAACCAGCAGGAGAGCAACAAUAAAAGUGUGCUCCUUAAAACCCAAGCAGGGUGCGAACCUUCCUGGCUAUCCGGCCCACUGUAGCUCUGUUCAGCGAAUUCGACCAGAGGAGGGGUCCUGGCUUGCAGUUUGGGCAAACUGGUUGGUCCCACCAGCUCAAGGGAAGAAGAAAUCUGGAGGAUCUUCUCUGUCGUUGGAGAUCGAGGAUUCGGACCUGCAGCAGGGCUUCACCGGCGGUUCAGUCGUGGUAGGGGUCCUCUUCCGUCAGUUCCUCAUCGGUUCUUUCGUUCCAGUGGUGACUGCCUUUCCAGUCCAGAGACUUGCUUUUUAUGCAGUUUUCCCCCACUCACACAGCCUGGCUGUCAAUCACACAGCAGGGUGGCUGUCCUGGCAAGGGCAGCCACCCAGCCAAUCAAACAGGAGUGCGACUUGGGUUACCAAGGGAACCCAUGGCAGGGGUCCUAAGACCCCUCCCUCACAUCCUGCCUACCCAGACUUUCAGGUGCCUUAAGGAGGGCUUCUGUGCAGAAGCCUGCGAAAAGACGGCGAACAAAGGUACGAAACCUGGUUUGGUGCGCAGAGAAAAACAUGAGAAAGACUAACAAGAAAUGGCAAAUAAACCCAGCCGGAGCCGAAUUAAUAUAUAUUUGGUCACGCGGGUUUAUGUUCGAGGCUACUAACAUAGCCUAAAACAAUACCAUGGUUAUUUAAGAUAACCGCAGUAGAAAAAAUAGGGAUGUUACCACUGCCACCAGCCAAGUCUUGAUGAAAAGGGUGCGAAACAGUGUUCCAAGAGAAACAGACAAAAAGGGAUAAGAAUUAACAAUGGUGUGUGUUAAUUAAGAAUUAACACACAACGAUGGUGCUCAUGGAGUAGGUGAGGCUCCAGAGCCCAAGACAGCAGGACGGUGGCCAUGGAAGUUGGAAUCCGCUAAGGAGCCGCGGGGAGAGUUCUCUUUUCUUUGUGAAGGGCAGGGCACCCUGGAAUGAGUUGGAGAGCGUUGCGGUUCCAGCGGCCUGCGGUGAGCUAUCGCUGGUCCUUGAAAAUCCAGGGGGAGAUGGUGUCAAUCUCGCGCCGGGCCGUACCCAUAUCCGCAGCAGGUCUCCAAGGUGAACAGCCUAUCGCAUGUUGGAACAAUGUAGGUAAGGGAAGACAGCAAGUCAGAUCCUUAACUUCAGGGUAAGGAUUGGCUCUAAGGGCUGGGUCGGUCGGGCUGGGGCGUGAAGCGGGGCUGGGCGUGCGCAGCGGUUGGAUGAGGCAUCUCACACCCUCUCCCCGGGGGUGGCAUCGACGCUGGAUGUGAGCCGGGCCCAGCCUGUGGAUCUCCCCAGCUGAAGUGGUCACCUUUCUCCGUUCCCCUCUUGGGAUUCGGGGGCCGACGUUCUGCCUCGGCCGACGCCUAGUAGAUGACUUAGAACUGGUGCAGACCAGGGAAAUCUGACUGUUUCAUUAAAACAAAGCAUUGCAAAGGCCUGCGGUGGGUAUUGACGCAAUGCGAUUUCUGCCCAGUGCUCUGAAUGUCAAAGUGAAGAAAUUCAAUGAAGUGCGGAUAAACGGCGGGAGCAAAUAUGACUCUCUUAAGGUAGCCAAAUGCCUCAUCAUCUAAUUAUUGGUGGGCAUGAAUGGAUGAACGAGAUUCCCACUUUCCCUACCUACUAUCUAGCGAAAUCACAGCCAAGGGAACUGGCUUGGCAGAACCAGUGGGGAAAGGAGACACAGUUGUGCUUGCCUCUAAUCUGGCACUGUAAAGAGACAUGAGAGGUGCAGGAUAAGUGGGAGGCCCUUGGGCCGCCGGUGAAAUAUUACCCGGUGAGGUGGGGGCGAGCCCCAUAGAGCUCUCUGCUUCUGGCUCAAAGCACCCAGCGCAAGCCGUGCGCGACCUGCUCCGGGGACAUUGGCAGGUGGGGCGUUUGACUGGGGCGGAACACCUGUCAAACGAUAACACAGGUGUCCUAAUGUGAGCUCAGGGAGGACAGAAACCUGCCGUGGAGCAGAAGGGCAAAAGCUUGCUUGAUUUCGAUUUUUCAGUAUGAAUACAGACCGUGAAAGCGGGGCCUCACAAACCUUUUGACUUUUGGGGUUUCAAGCAGGAGGGGUCCGAAAAGUUACCACAGGGAUAACUGGCUUGUGGCAGCCAAGUGUUCAUAGCGACAUUGCUUUUUGAUCCUUCAAUGUCGGCUCUUCCUAUCAUUGUGAAGCAGAAUUCACCAAGCGUUGGAUUGGUCACCCACUAAUAGGGAACGUGAGGUGGGUUUAGACCGUCGUGAGACAGGUUAGUUUUACCCUACUGAUGAUGUGUUGUUGCAAUAGUAAUCCUGCUCAGUACAAGAGGAACCGCAGGUUCAGACAUUUGGUGUAUGUGCUUGGCUGAGGAGCCAAUGGGGCGAAGCUACCAUCUGUGGUGAUUAUGACUGAACGCUCCAAGUCAGAAUCCCCCAAACCGUAAUCAUACCACAGUGCUGUCGAGCCAUGGUUGGCCUAGGAUAACCGGCCUCUAGGCGGUGCGUAAAGCCAGCUCGCCUCGGGACUCAAGUGUGUACAGAAGGGGGCCACGUCUCUCGCCGAAGUGUACCGCAUGUUCGUGGGGGACCUGGUGCUAAAUCAUUCGUAGAUUACCUGAUUCUUGUUCAGGGUUUCGUAAGUAGCAAAGCAGCUACCUUGCUGCAAUCUAUUGA